AUCACACUCUGAGACAACUAAAUUGGAUGCCCUCCCGAAACGGGCCAAAUGCCCUUUCUGCCCAACCUCCAGGGCCAGCCCGGUCGGACAGCAGGCUGAGCAGCUCCCCAGAACUUCUUGGGAACGCCUCUUCUUUCCCACCUAGGUUGUGGACAAACCAGCCUCUGCGGCUGGCACUUCUCUCACAGAGAUGCCAUUUUGUCCCCUAUGAAACACUGUGAAUUGUAGUGCGAAUACAGACCUACCACCUAUGGAGCUAUGCAGUGCUGUUGUCCCUAUGACAGAAUAAAGGUGCUAAGUCAGUUCCAAAUUGUAAUUGCCCCUUUUAGGAGCACACAUUAAAUAAUUGGGUCUACUUGGAGUCUUGGGACAGGCCCAAAAUGUAGCCAAAGAAAUACUAUUUAUUGAUGCAAGGGGAAAUUCCAUAUAUGGGCAUGUUUAGCAAUUUCUGUCCAGGGAUGAUGUUGGACAACUACGUUCGCACCACAUGCACUGACUCUGAUUCUAUCCGCCUUCCCUCUGUCAGUAUUAUUUAUUGCUGCCAGCAUGGCUGGGGAAGUAGUCUAUGCCGAUCUCAACAUCUCUUCUGAACCACAUAGGUCAACCCUGCUCCAUCCAUCUCAGCAGUGCACUCUUCCCCAUUAUUCCCAUUGGCACCAGAUUGCUCUGUGGGUGGGGUACAUUGGGAAUGUCGUUCUCCUGGCAGCGGUGAUAUUUUUGGUUCUGCACUUGGAGAAUGGAAACCCUGAUGCAGAUGUAAGCGGAACAAAAUGUAAUAACACCUUAGAAGAUUUCCAAUCCCGUCUACUCAGGGAAAUCUGCAACCGAAGCCGGGAUAGC
Molecule: long non-coding RNA, 840 nt
Filed under: Pogona vitticeps (central bearded dragon)
Lineage: Eukaryota; Metazoa; Chordata; Lepidosauria; Squamata; Agamidae
Description: lncRNA (ENSPVIG00000003467.1)
Source: RNAcentral